AACGAACGCUGGCGGCAUGCCUAACACAUGCAAGUCGAACGAAGUCUUCGGACUUAGUGGCGCACGGGUGCGUAACGCGUGGGAAUCUGCCCUUUGGUACGGAAUAACUCAGGGAAACUUGUGCUAAUACCGUAUGAUGUCUUCGGACCAAAGAUUUAUCGCCAAAGGAUGAGCCCGCGUAGGAUUAGCUAGCUGGUGAGGUAAAGGCUCACCAAGGCGACGAUCCUUAGCUGGUCUGAGAGGAUGAUCAGCCACACUGGGACUGAGACACGGCCCAGACUCCUACGGGAGGCAGCAGUGGGGAAUAUUGGACAAUGGGGGCAACCCUGAUCCAGCAAUGCCGCGUGAGUGAUGAAGGCCUUAGGGUUGUAAAGCUCUUUUACCCGGGAAGAUAAUGACUGUACCGGGAGAAUAAGCCCCGGCUAACUCCGUGCCAGCCGCCGCCGUAA
This 449-nucleotide ribosomal RNA is filed under the name uncultured bacterium. RNAcentral's name for it is "partial 16S ribosomal RNA". It matches the Rfam family "Bacterial small subunit ribosomal RNA", at positions 29 to 523 of the family's 1533-position model. The record is from RNAcentral.